This is a long non-coding RNA of Zea mays, 1441 nucleotides long. RefSeq lists it as uncharacterized. NCBI's taxonomy places the organism in Eukaryota, Viridiplantae, Streptophyta, Magnoliopsida, Poales, Poaceae. The record is from RefSeq and is a predicted model, not a curated record. The transcript has 4 exons.
GGAGGGCUGCAAUGAUUACAUCUACAUUUGGUGGAACUUUACCUCAUGGAUGAUAUGCCAGAUGGGGAGGGCGCGCAAGGAUAGCCCCGACGGUUUCGUCACGAAGCCAGAGACACUGACCGAUGGGAUAGUGAAGCUGAUGAUUUGGCACCGCACCAUCCCCAGCAUGCAAGGGUAAGCGACCCAAGGGUUCUUAUCUGUCCACUGUUUUAUCAAAUCCCCAUGGCUUUUUCGAUUCCUUUUUGUGUGUUCAGUUUUUUCUUUGUGUGUCAUGAGUUUCAGAACUUGAUUGGGAUGGUUUUUGUGCCAUGAGAAUUAGGGUUUGAUAGGGAUGAUUUGGGUAUCAGUUCUUACGGUCACUGGAAUUUGCAUAUUGUCAUAGUCUAAUGCCAUUAAAUUUUGAGGGUAGCGAUAUUGUUUUCACCCUAUUGAAUAGGGUAUAUGAUGAUAUUGGCAAGCGCUGGAGUAGGUAAUAUUUUGUUAAAGUUUUCAUGUCGUUCCUCCACUGCCAUGGCUUGAUCUGUGAGGAUCCAUACAUGCAUAUGGUUUAUGCUUGUAAGUUUUCUUCUUCCCUUGCUUUACACAUCUGCCAUAUCAUGCUUGACAAACACAUCAGUUUUGGCCCUAAUGUUCCAGUGUGUUUUUGUGUAACUUUGUCCCUUUCUUUGUACCAAGAUUUUGUUCAUUGGGUCUGCGUGGGCUACCAGGGAUUAAGGUUAAUGAUUCAAUUAUGCUCUUUGUAUUGUGCUUAUGGUUGAGUAUGGCGUUUAACACUAACUACGAGAUAGGUCAGAACAGAAUUGGAAGACCAGCUUCUCUACACAUAUAGAUGCCAUUGUCUCGAUGGGGAGUUUAGUGAUUUCAAGGCGCUGCCUAGAGCAAGUGGAUAAUUGAGUGAUUUUCAGGAGCUCCUACACUAUCUGUAUGAACUAACUCUUUCUGAUCAUAAGUGGGAUGAUGCGAACUAUCUGGAGCCCAAACAGAUCAACAGAUCACAAAGCUAUGCCAACUCGAAACCACUGCACCACGUGGUCGAGUAUUUACAAAAGUCGUCAUCGGUUUCUGUGAGGAGUUGGAGCCGGCCGGUGACAUAUUGAGAAGAUGCUCGGCACUGCUUGCUCCAUUGCCGCAUGGAUAGCAGAAAAGGAAGGUAGAAGAUGACCACAACUAAAUCCCAUAUAUUAAGUCUAUUUAUUCCGUAAUUCUUUAUGCCAACCAAUCAGAUCGUGUCAUGUCACCUAUGUCUGUGCAACCUUACUAAUUUAUUAAACAUGUGAUCUAUUUUGCGUUAGAUAUCUUAUUUAUUCCAUUCAAAUUGUGCUAUAUUUAUAUUAAUUUUGUGUACAUAAUAAUAACAUUUUUUAUCACACCCCAUGUUUUAAAUAAUGAUUUAUUUAAAUAUUUGUUUAAUGGACAUUAAUUAGCUAGACAAUCUAAUUAA